ACCAAUGGCCCUCGAGUGCAAAGGUAAAAGGAAGCUUGACUUCAAGACCCAUUGUCAAGCAAGGAUGAAAGACAGCCUCAGU
This 82-nucleotide ribosomal RNA is filed under the name Olea europaea subsp. europaea. Its description in RNAcentral is "PK-G12rRNA". Lineage: Eukaryota; Viridiplantae; Streptophyta; Magnoliopsida; Lamiales; Oleaceae. The record is from RNAcentral.